GAUGAACGCUGGCGGCGUGCCUAAUACAUGCAAGUCGAGCGAACAGACGAGGAGCUUGCUCCUCUGACGUUAGCGGCGGACGGGUGAGUAACACGUGGAUAACUUACCUAUAAGACUGGGAUAACUUCGGGAAACCGGAGCUAAUACCGGAUAAUAUAUUGAACCGCAUGGUUCAAUAGUGAAAGACGGUUUUGCUGUCACUUAUAGAUGGAUCCGCGCCGGAUUAGCUAGUUGGUAAGGUAACGGCUUACCAAGGCAACGAUGCGUAGCCGACCUGAGAGGGUGAUCGGCCACACUGGAACUGAGACACGGUCCAGACUCCUACGGGAGGCAGCAGUAGGGAAUCUUCCGCAAUGGGCGAAAGCUUGACGGAGCAACGCCGCGUGAGUGAUGAAGGUCUUCGGAUCGUAAAACUCUGUUAUUAGGGAAGAACAAAUGUGUAAGUAACUAUGCACGUCUUGACGGUACCUAAUCAGAAAGCCACGGCUAACUACGUG
This 497-nucleotide ribosomal RNA is filed under the name uncultured bacterium. RNAcentral's name for it is "partial 16S ribosomal RNA". It matches the Rfam family "Bacterial small subunit ribosomal RNA", at positions 28 to 507 of the family's 1533-position model. The record is from RNAcentral.